This 492-nucleotide ribosomal RNA is filed under the name uncultured bacterium. RNAcentral's name for it is "partial 16S ribosomal RNA". It matches the Rfam family "Bacterial small subunit ribosomal RNA", at positions 29 to 507 of the family's 1533-position model. The record is from RNAcentral.
AGUGAACGCUGGCGGUAGGCCUAACACAUGCAAGUCGAACGGCAGCACCGUAAGAGCUUGCUCUUACGGGUGGCCAGUGGCGGACGGGUGAGGAAUACAUCGGAAUCUACUCUUUCGUGGGGGAUAACGUAGGGAAACUUACGCCAAUACCGCAUACGCCCUACGGGUGAAAGCAGGGGAUCUUCUGACCUUGCGCGAUUGAAUGAGCCGCUGUCGGAUUAGCUGGUUGGCGGGGUAAAUGCCCACCACGGCGCCGAUCCGCAGCUGGUCUGAGAGGAGGGUCGGCCACACGGGAACUGAGCCACGGACCAGACUACUGCGAGAGGCAGCAGUGGGGAAUGUUAGACAAUGGGCGCGAGCCUGAUCCAGCCAUACCGCGUGGGAGAAGAAGGCGUUCGGGUUGUAAAGCCCGUUUGUUGGGAAAGAAAAGCAGCAGGUUAAUACCCCGCUGUACUGACGGUACCCAAAGAAUAAGCACCGGCUAACUUCGUG